Molecule: ribosomal RNA, 253 nt
Filed under: uncultured bacterium
Lineage: Bacteria
Description: partial 16S ribosomal RNA
Rfam family: Bacterial small subunit ribosomal RNA
Source: RNAcentral
UACGUAGGGUGCAAGCGUUGUCCGGAAUUAUUGGGCGUAAAGGGCUCGUAGGCGGUCCAUCGCGUCGGGAGUGAAAAGCUGGGGCUCAACCCCAGUCCUGCUUCCGAUACGGGUGGACUAGAGGUAUGCAGGGGAGAACGGAAUUCCCGGUGUAGCGGUGAAAUGCGCAGAUAUCAGGAGGAACACCAGUGGCGAAGGCGGCUCACUGGUCCGGUACUGACGCUGAGAAGCGAAAGCAUGGGGAGCGAACAGG